RNAcentral lists this ribosomal RNA (465 nucleotides) under uncultured bacterium. RNAcentral describes it as "partial 16S ribosomal RNA". It matches the Rfam family "Bacterial small subunit ribosomal RNA", at positions 28 to 507 of the family's 1533-position model. The record is from RNAcentral.
GACGAACGCUGGCGGCGUGCUUAAUACAUGCAAGUCGAACGGAAAGGCGCGUUUGGUGGUUCUCGGGUGGCGACCGGGGGAGUAACACGAGAGUAUCCUGCCCUUGACUUCGGGAUUACGUCAAGAUAGUGGAGCUAAUACCGGAUAGGAAUCCUUUCUGCAUGGUGGGGGUUGGAAAGCUUCGGCGGUUUUUGAUGGACUUGCUGCUUAUCAGCUUGCUGGUGGGGUAGUGGCUUACCAAGGCUUUGACGGGUAGCAGGCCUGAGAGGGCGACCGGCCACAUUGGGACCGAAAGGCAGGCCAGACUCGUACGUGAGGCAGAAGUGGGGAAUGUUGCACAGAGGGCCGAAGCGUGAUGCAGCAACGCCGCGGGCGGGAUGACGGCUUUUGGGUUGUAAAACGCUUUGAGCAGGGGCGAAGCUUGUGGUGACGGUACCUGAAGAAGAAGCACCGGCUAACUUCGUG